UCGAGAAUCUUCCUCAAUGGGCGCAAGCCUGAAGGAGCAACGCCGCGUGUGGGAUGAAGGCCUUCGGGUUGUAAACCACUGUCAGUUGGGAGGAAGGCUCCGUGAAGAGCGGAGUUUGACCUAUCUUCAGAGGAAGGCCGGGCUAAGUUCGUGCCAGCAGCCGCGGUAAGACGAACCGGCCAAACGUUAUUCGGAAUCAUUGGGCUUAAAGGGUGCGUAGGCGGCGUGGUCAGUUGGGUGUGAAAUCCCUCGGCUCAACCGAGGAACUGCGCCCAAUACUACCAUGCUCGAGGGAGACAGAGGCGAGCGGAACUGAUGGUGGAGCGGUGAAAUGCGUUGAUAUCAUCAGGAACACCAGUGGCGAAAGCGGCUCGCUGGGUCUCUUCUGACGCUGAGGCACGAAAGCUAGGGUAGCGAACGGGAUUAGAUACCCCCGUAGUCC
This 442-nucleotide ribosomal RNA is filed under the name uncultured prokaryote. RNAcentral's name for it is "bacterial SSU rRNA". It matches the Rfam family "Bacterial small subunit ribosomal RNA", at positions 355 to 796 of the family's 1533-position model. The record is from RNAcentral.